UUGAGGCAACAUGGCCUCAAAAAAUAUUUAAGGUAAACAAAAUAGAAAAUACAAAUGAAAGCAAAGAGAAAAAAUUGUAAAAAAAUUGAUAAUUUUACUCCUCACUCAAGAUCAAGGCACUAAAAGCUGUAAAACUCAGCCCAUUUUUGGCUCACUUUUCGAAUUCGUCUAAUUGCCCAAAAAAGAGUCAAAUGAUUGGUUCUUAAAAAGUUAUGUCAUUUUUUUUCCGUCAAAUCAUCCACCAACAGAUUGCGAUCCCGAUUAGAUUUCUCACUGUUGCCACUCAAUGGCGAUCUCCAACCAAAAGCUCUCAGACACCCGUAAUCUUCAUUCCAGGUUUCGGGACGUGCCUGCCAUCUAGAAUGUUGAAUAUUAAAAAUUUGGUAAUUACGCAUCCAACAAGCAGAUGAUUAAUAAUCUCAACAUCGUUGCCGCACAUCACACACCGUCAAUUUUCGGACCAAUCUUUUUUUAAUAAAUU
This 481-nucleotide long non-coding RNA is filed under the name Ananas comosus (pineapple). Its description in RNAcentral is "long non-coding RNA (ACOM_LNC007885)". Lineage: Eukaryota; Viridiplantae; Streptophyta; Magnoliopsida; Poales; Bromeliaceae. The record is from RNAcentral.